CCUACGGGAGGCUGCAGUGGGGAAUAUUGCGCAAUGGGCGAAAGCCUGACGCAGCGACGCCGCGUGAGGGAUGACGGUCUUCUGAUCGUAAACCUCUGUCAGCAGGGAAGAACGGUCACUGUGCUAAUCAUCAGUGAAUUGACGGUACCUGCAAAGGAAGCACCGGCUAACUCCGUGCCAGCAGCCGCGGUAAUACGGAGGGUGCGAGCGUUAAUCGGACUUACUGGGCGUAAAGCGCUCGUAGGCGGUAUGUCAAGUCAAGGGUGAAAUCCCCGCGCUCAACGUGGGAACUGCCUUUGAAACUGGCAAACUGGAGUGUGUGAGAGGAUAGUGGAAUUCAAGGUGUAGGAGUGAAAUGCGUAGAUAUCUGGAGGAACAUCAGUGGCGAAGGCGACUAUCUGGCACAUAACUGACGCUGAGGAGCGAAAGCGUGGGUAGCAAACAGGAUUAGAUACCCCAGUAGUC
This 465-nucleotide ribosomal RNA is filed under the name uncultured bacterium. Its description in RNAcentral is "partial 16S ribosomal RNA". It matches the Rfam family "Bacterial small subunit ribosomal RNA", at positions 338 to 795 of the family's 1533-position model. The record is from RNAcentral.